GGCCUGGUGGUGUAGCGGUAACACACCUGCUUUACGUGUGCCUUCAGCAGUGUUAUGGCUGGAGAUCCUUGUUCGACUCAAGGUCAGGUCA
Molecule: non-coding RNA, 91 nt
Organism: Mycena latifolia
Lineage: Eukaryota; Fungi; Basidiomycota; Agaricomycetes; Agaricales; Mycenaceae
Source: the annotation of a GenBank genome assembly